Molecule: long non-coding RNA, 1163 nt
Filed under: Crocodylus porosus (Australian saltwater crocodile)
Lineage: Eukaryota; Metazoa; Chordata; Crocodylia; Crocodylidae
Description: lncRNA (ENSCPRG00005007400.1)
Source: RNAcentral
CACAAAACAAAAGUCUUUCUGUGAAACAGUGGGCCACACACAGGCUGCACCCCUGAGGGUUCCAUUUCCCUAAGCCUGGAUCCUGGAGGCCCCUGCCUGUAAGACUAGAAAAGCUGCUAAUACCAAGCCCCGCUCCUCAAGACAGAGCAGGGGAGAAGUUACCCCACUCCCUCAGACCCACUUUAGUUGGUGCCAUUUCUAUGCAAUGCUGUUCAGGCAACAUGCAUGAGGCAGGAAAAAUAUUAUCCCUUCUACCCGUAGAUUUCUAACUGUUCACAUUUGCGCUGUUAAAAGAAAGCAGAGGGUGCCGAAUUACACUCCAGAGACACAGAGCAAAUAUAAGCAGGCAGCCUGUGGGGAAUGGCAGCAGGGCCCCAGCUUUGGGGGUCAGGCAUUAGUGCAGGGAGAUGGCAGCAAGACCCCAGCUAAGCCCCUCCCUGUCUGAAAUCGCUCAUGUUAAAUGCAGAUUUUUCCUACCACCACACCCCUCAGAAAGAGCUGGAGCAAAACAGCAAAAGGGGCUGGAAGCCGAAAGAAGAGGAAAAUAAAUAAAUAAAUCCAAACCCUUUGCCAGAGCCUGAGCGCAGCUGCUUGGCUGAGUCUCCUCAGCAGCUGGGAUGCCCUCUUUUCCCCCCUUCUCUCCUCCCCUCUCCAGCUUGCCUCUGCUUUCUCCAGUGACCCAGCUGCGCGUGAGCCAAGUGCGCCUUGGGAGCUGGGAAUCAGCCCUGCACUCACUGGAAGCCACAUUCCAGGGCAUUCAACCAAAAAAACACACCAACCACAGACAGGAAGAGGCAGCUAUAGAAGGGUCAGGAAAUGCUUGGCCAGCUCACAUGAGGCUGCACAUCCCAGAAUGCCAGAAGCUGAUUCAAAAUGGAUGACUAUUUUUCUGGAGACUAUCAGACUGAGUAAGGAGAACACUCAUAGAGAGGAAAGAGGAGGAAAACAGGCCAGAGUGGUAAAGUUUACGCAUAUACAUUGUGUAGGCAUCCAGAACACAGAUUCACCCACAGGAUAAUCUGCAGUUUGCUUUCCAGUCAGUCCUAUUGCCAUAUCAUACCCUCCUCUGUAUUAUACCAGUAGGGCACUCUGGCUUAGUCUCUUCACUAUAGCAUCCUUCACUUGGCCCCCUAAGCACAGAUGUCCAAGAGAACAAAAAAUAG